GAUGAACGCUGGCGGCGUGCCUAAUACAUGCAAGUCGAGCGAACAGACGAGGAGCUUGCUUCUCUGACGUUAGCGGCGGACGGGUGAGUAACACGUGGAUAACCUACCUAUAAGACUGGGAUAACUUCGGGAAACCGGAGCUAAUACCGGAUAAUAUAUUGAACCGCAUGGUUCAAUAGUGAAAGACGGUUUUGCUGUCACUUAUAGAUGGAUCCGCGCCGCAUUAGCUAGUUGGUAAGGUAACGGCUUACCAAGGCAACGAUGCGUAGCCGACCUGAGAGGGUGAUCGGCCACACUGGAACUGAGACACGGUCCAGACUCCUACGGGAGGCAGCAGUAGGGAAUCUUCCGCAAUGGGCGAAAGCCUGACGGAGCAACGCCGCGUGAGUGAUGAAGGUCUUCGGAUCCUAAAACUCUGUUAUUAGGGAAGAACAAAUGUGUAAGUAACUAUGCACGUCUUGACGGUACCUAAUCAGAAAGCCACGGCUAACUACGUG
Molecule: ribosomal RNA, 497 nt
Filed under: uncultured bacterium
Lineage: Bacteria
Description: partial 16S ribosomal RNA
Rfam family: Bacterial small subunit ribosomal RNA
Source: RNAcentral